This 782-nucleotide long non-coding RNA is filed under the name Mytilus galloprovincialis (Mediterranean mussel). The record is from RNAcentral. Lineage: Eukaryota; Metazoa; Mollusca; Bivalvia; Mytilida; Mytilidae.
UUAUUGUAAUUAGGUCUUUCCACUUUUCUGUGGAAAGACCUAUUGUAUUUGUUCUGAUUAUUAUUAGGUCUUUCCACUUUUCUGUGGAAAGACCUAUUGUAUUUGUUCUGAUUAUUAUUAUUAUUAGGUCUUUCCACUUUUCUGUGGAAAGACCUAUUGUAUUUGUUCUGAUUAUUAUUAUUAUUAUUAUUAUUAUUUUUUUUUUUUUUUUUUUUCUUCCGCCAAAUUUUGUUCUUGCGAUAAAUGUUUAUUUCGCAAUAUGUCGCUUAGAUAUUUCUCAUAUGGUAUCGUAUAGUUUAUGCGCUUUUAAAUUUCACCCUGCUAAGGCGAACCAUUUUCUUUGUAAGAGUUAUCUCCCCUUUCACUGUUUAUCAUCAGAGUGCAUCUCCUCCGUAACCGUAGAAAAAUGCGACAAAUUUAUUUUAUAAAAUUGCUCGUUAUAUCCUUCGCAUGAUUUGUCCUAUUUUAACCGAAGCGAUAUGAACACUCCUUAUGAGAGUUAUUCCCCCUUUUGCAUUUGAUAUUAGUAAUAUGCAUUUCUAACUGGUAAACCAUAGGUAAUAGAGACCUAGGGUCUUUUGAUUUAAGGUCCUUGGUCCAAAAAAAUGAAAAUUAGGUCAAGGUCAAAGGUCAAGGUCAUAUUCUAAAUUUUGAUUUUGGCUUAUUUUCACUCAUUUUCAUUAAUCUUAUCAGAUAUCGACAAAUUAUUUUUACUAAAUUGUUAGUUGCGACAUGUCGUAACAUAAUAAUUUUGGUUGAAAGGUGCGUAGACAAUAAAUGGG